This 68-nucleotide small RNA is filed under the name Rhodococcus sp. SMB37. RNAcentral describes it as "ASdes TB sRNA". It matches the Rfam family "ASdes TB sRNA". Lineage: Bacteria; Bacillati; Actinomycetota; Actinomycetes; Mycobacteriales; Nocardiaceae. The record is from Rfam by way of RNAcentral.
AGGGCCACCGGAUCGACACCACGCGUGACGACGAGGUAAUCGCGCAUCACGAUGCCGUGACGGUUCUC